GAUUCGAACUCAGAGCCUCCGACUCCGGGACCAUUGCCCGGUGCAGGAAGGGGCCUGCUUAGCGUGGUGAGCUAUGCUCCCCACCCUCCUUGCAAGAAGUUUCUCU
Stegastes partitus (bicolor damselfish) is the source of this 106-nucleotide long non-coding RNA. RefSeq lists it as uncharacterized. NCBI's taxonomy places the organism in Eukaryota, Metazoa, Chordata, Actinopteri, Pomacentridae. The record is from RefSeq and is a predicted model, not a curated record. The transcript is spliced from 3 exons.